UACAUGCCCGGCGUCGCUCGUUGAGGGAUUGUUGUAGGACAUAUAGGCCCUGCGUAUGUAUGCUCGCGGGCAGAUACGCCCUACAAAAACUCCCUCCGGGCCGAAGUCGCCGAGAGUACGUA
This 122-nucleotide microRNA precursor is filed under the name Retroperitoneal fibromatosis-associated herpesvirus. Its description in RNAcentral is "miRc-RF02". Lineage: Duplodnaviria; Heunggongvirae; Peploviricota; Herviviricetes; Herpesvirales; Orthoherpesviridae. The record is from RNAcentral.